UCCCUUGUGGCUCAGCUGGUAAAGAAUCUGCCUGCAAUGCAGGAGACCUAGGUUUGAUCCCUGGGUUGGGAA
Molecule: transfer RNA, 72 nt
Organism: Ovis aries (sheep)
Lineage: Eukaryota; Metazoa; Chordata; Mammalia; Artiodactyla; Bovidae
Rfam family: tRNA
About the family: Transfer RNA (tRNA) molecules are approximately 80 nucleotides in length.
Source: Rfam